GACGAACGCUGGCGGCGUGCUUAACACAUGCAAGUCGAACGGAAAGGCCCUGCUUUUGUGGGGGGCUCGAGUGGCGAACGGGUGAGUAACACGUGAGUAACCUGCCCUUGACUUUGGGAUAACUUCAGGAAACUGGGGCUAAUACCGGAUAUGAGCUCCUGCUGCAUGGUGGGGGGUGGAAAGUUUCGGCGGUUGGGGAUGGACUCGCGGCUUAUCAGCCUGUUGGUGGGGUAGUGGCUUACCAAGGCUUUGACGGGUAGCCGGCCUGAGAGGGUGACCGGCCACAUUGGGACUGAGAUACGGCCCAGACUCCUACGGGAGGCAGCAGUGGGGAAUAUUGCACAAUGGGCGGAAGCCUGAUGCAGCAACGCCGCGUGCGGGAUGACGGCCUUCGGGUUGUAAACCGCUUUCGCCUGUGACGAAGCGUGAGUGACGGUAAUGGGUAAAGAAGCACCGGCUAACUACGUG
This 468-nucleotide ribosomal RNA is filed under the name uncultured bacterium. Its description in RNAcentral is "partial 16S ribosomal RNA". It matches the Rfam family "Bacterial small subunit ribosomal RNA", at positions 28 to 507 of the family's 1533-position model. The record is from RNAcentral.